This 117-nucleotide ribosomal RNA is filed under the name Candidatus Opitulatrix cubana. The record is from RNAcentral. Lineage: Bacteria; Bacillati; Actinomycetota; Actinomycetes; Bifidobacteriales; Bifidobacteriaceae.
UUCGGGGGUAAUAGAGACGGUGAAACACCUUGCUCCAUUCCGAACCAAGAAGUUAAGCCCGUCAUCGCCGAUGGUACUGCAAGGGAAGCCUUGUGGGAGAGUAGGUCGCCCCCGGUU